Molecule: ribosomal RNA, 301 nt
Filed under: uncultured bacterium
Lineage: Bacteria
Description: partial 16S ribosomal RNA
Rfam family: Bacterial small subunit ribosomal RNA
Source: RNAcentral
CAGCAGCCGCGGUAAAACGAAGGGUGCAAGCGUUAAUCGGAAUUACUGGACGUAAAGCGUGCGUAGGCGGUGAGUUAAGUCUGCUGUGAAAUCCCCGGGCUCAACCUGGGAAUGGCAGUGGAUACUGGCUCGCUAGAGUGUGUCAGAGGAUGGUGGAAUUCCCGGUGUAGCGGUGAAAUGCGUAGAGAUCGGGAGGAACAUCAGUGGCGAAGGCGGCCAUCUGGGACAACACUGACGCUGAGGCACGAAAGCGUGGGGAGCAAACAGGAUUAGAUACCCCCGUAGUCCCUGUCUCUUAUAC